Molecule: ribosomal RNA, 2904 nt
Filed under: Enterobacter sp. BIDMC 27
Lineage: Bacteria; Pseudomonadati; Pseudomonadota; Gammaproteobacteria; Enterobacterales; Enterobacteriaceae
Description: bacterial LSU rRNA
Rfam family: Bacterial large subunit ribosomal RNA
Source: RNAcentral
UUAAGCGACUAAGCGUACACGGUGGAUGCCCUGGCAGUCAGAGGCGAUGAAGGACGUGCUAAUCUGCGAAAAGCGCCGGCGAGGUGAUAUGAACCCUUGACCCGGCGAUGUCCGAAUGGGGAAACCCAGUGCAAUCCGUUGCACUAUCGUUAACUGAAUACAUAGGUUAACGAGGCGAACCGGGGGAACUGAAACAUCUAAGUACCCCGAGGAAAAGAAAUCAACCGAGAUUCCCCCAGUAGCGGCGAGCGAACGGGGAGCAGCCCGGAGUCUGAAUCAGCUUGUGUGUUAGUGGAACGGUCUGGAAAGUCCGACGGUACAGGGUGAUAGUCCCGUACACGAAAAUGCACAUGCUGUGAACUCGAAGAGUAGGGCGGGACACGUGGUAUCCUGUCUGAAUAUGGGGGGACCAUCCUCCAAGGCUAAAUACUCCUGACUGACCGAUAGUGAACCAGUACCGUGAGGGAAAGGCGAAAAGAACCCCGGCGAGGGGAGUGAAAAAGAACCUGAAACCGUGUACGUACAAGCAGUGGGAGCCUCUUUAUGGGGUGACUGCGUACCUUUUGUAUAAUGGGUCAGCGACUUAUAUUCUGUAGCAAGGUUAACCGUAUAGGGGAGCCGAAGGGAAACCGAGUCUUAACUGGGCGUUAAGUUGCAGGGUAUAGACCCGAAACCCGGUGAUCUAGCCAUGGGCAGGUUGAAGGUUGGGUAACACUAACUGGAGGACCGAACCGACUAAUGUUGAAAAAUUAGCGGAUGACCUGUGGCUGGGGGUGAAAGGCCAAUCAAACCGGGAGAUAGCUGGUUCUCCCCGAAAGCUAUUUAGGUAGCGCCUCGUGAACUCAUCUUCGGGGGUAGAGCACUGUUUCGGCUAGGGGGCCAUCCCGGCUUACCAACCCGAUGCAAACUACGAAUACCGAAGAAUGUUAUCACGGGAGACACACGGCGGGUGCUAACGUCCGUCGUGAAGAGGGAAACAACCCAGACCGCCAGCUAAGGUCCCAAAGUCAUGGUUAAGUGGGAAACGAUGUGGGAAGGCACAGACAGCCAGGAUGUUGGCUUAGAAGCAGCCAUCAUUUAAAGAAAGCGUAAUAGCUCACUGGUCGAGUCGGCCUGCGCGGAAGAUGUAACGGGGCUAAACCAUGCACCGAAGCUGCGGCAGCGACGCUUAUGCGUUGUUGGGUAGGGGAGCGUUCUGUAAGCCGUUGAAGGUGUGCUGUGAGGCAUGCUGGAGGUAUCAGAAGUGCGAAUGCUGACAUAAGUAACGAUAAAGCGGGUGAAAAGCCCGCUCGCCGGAAGACCAAGGGUUCCUGUCCAACGUUAAUCGGGGCAGGGUGAGUCGACCCCUAAGGCGAGGCCGAAAGGCGUAGUCGAUGGGAAACAGGUUAAUAUUCCUGUACUUGGUGUUACUGCGAAGGGGGGACGGAGAAGGCUAUGUCAGCCGGGCGACGGUUGUCCCGGUUUAAGCAUGUAGGCGGAGGUUCCAGGUAAAUCCGGUACCUUAUUAACGCUGAGGUGUGAUGACGAGGCACUACGGUGCUGAAGUGAUAAAUGCCCUGCUUCCAGGAAAAGCCUCUAAGCAUCAGGUAACACGAAAUCGUACCCCAAACCGACACAGGUGGUCAGGUAGAGAAUACCAAGGCGCUUGAGAGAACUCGGGUGAAGGAACUAGGCAAAAUGGUGCCGUAACUUCGGGAGAAGGCACGCUGAUGUGUAGGUGAAGCCCCUGCGGGUGGAGCUGAAAUCAGUCGAAGAUACCAGCUGGCUGCAACUGUUUAUUAAAAACACAGCACUGUGCAAACACGAAAGUGGACGUAUACGGUGUGACGCCUGCCCGGUGCCGGAAGGUUAAUUGAUGGGGUUAGCGGCAACGCGAAGCUCUUGAUCGAAGCCCCGGUAAACGGCGGCCGUAACUAUAACGGUCCUAAGGUAGCGAAAUUCCUUGUCGGGUAAGUUCCGACCUGCACGAAUGGCGUAAUGAUGGCCAGGCUGUCUCCACCCGAGACUCAGUGAAAUUGAACUCGCUGUGAAGAUGCAGUGUACCCGCGGCAAGACGGAAAGACCCCGUGAACCUUUACUAUAGCUUGACACUGAACACUGGUCCUUGAUGUGUAGGAUAGGUGGGAGGCUUUGAAGCGUGGACGCCAGUCUGCGUGGAGCCAACCUUGAAAUACCACCCUUUAAUGGCUGGUGUUCUAACGUGGACCCGUAAUCCGGGUUGCGGACAGUGUCUGGUGGGUAGUUUGACUGGGGCGGUCUCCUCCCAAAGAGUAACGGAGGAGCACGAAGGUUGGCUAAUCCUGGUCGGACAUCAGGAGGUUAGUGCAAUGGCAUAAGCCAGCUUGACUGCGAGCGUGACGGCGCGAGCAGGUGCGAAAGCAGGUCAUAGUGAUCCGGUGGUUCUGAAUGGAAGGGCCAUCGCUCAACGGAUAAAAGGUACUCCGGGGAUAACAGGCUGAUACCGCCCAAGAGUUCAUAUCGACGGCGGUGUUUGGCACCUCGAUGUCGGCUCAUCACAUCCUGGGGCUGAAGUAGGUCCCAAGGGUAUGGCUGUUCGCCAUUUAAAGUGGUACGCGAGCUGGGUUUAGAACGUCGUGAGACAGUUCGGUCCCUAUCUGCCGUGGGCGCUGGAGAAUUGAGGGGGGCUGCUCCUAGUACGAGAGGACCGGAGUGGACGCAUCACUGGUGUUCGGGUUGUCAUGCCAAUGGCACUGCCCGGUAGCUAAAUGCGGAAGAGAUAAGUGCUGAAAGCAUCUAAGCACGAAACUUGCCCCGAGAUGAGUUCUCCCUGAGACUUUAAGUCUCCUGAAGGAACGUUGAAGACGACGACGUUGAUAGGUCGGGUGUGUAAGCGCAGCGAUGCGUUGAGCUAACCGAUACUAAUGAACCGUGAGGCUUAACCUU